Crotalus tigris (Tiger rattlesnake) is the source of this 4569-nucleotide RNA transcript. It is a transcript of the gene named zinc finger protein 420-like, with no coding region annotated. The record is from RefSeq and is a predicted model, not a curated record. Lineage: Eukaryota; Metazoa; Chordata; Lepidosauria; Squamata; Viperidae. The transcript is spliced from 9 exons.
UUGAGUAGUCCUCGACUUACGACCGGUUGGGGGUCGUGGCAUUAAAAAGGUUGAGAACCACUGCUCUAGUUGAUAUCUCUGUUUGGGCUUCAAGCCAAGGUCACUCCUUCCAAGCAACGUGCAAAGCAAGGUCUUAGUGCUGUUCCUUUUGUCACCACUAGAUGUCAGUAAAUGUGUGUUUUUCAACCAGGACUUAUUUCUCAAAGGUUCAAUCCGGUAUUUUUUUUUUUAAAAAAGGAUAAAGUUUUCAAAAUAUUUUAAGUCUCCCAAAUUUUUCAAUGUUGCAACUUUAAAUUAUUUCCAAAUUAGUUUUAUAAUCUAUCUGCUUUCUCCCCCAAAAUAUUGAACCACCACUGUUCUUCUAGGGGGAGGGGCACCAGGGAACUCCCCCCCCUCCAUCUUCUUGCUUCUGGGAACCUUGCUUUUUGGGAUUCUUGUCUUCAGGGAAUUUCUUUUAAAUUGUAGAGCAGGAAAAAUACUCACACCCAGUUCCAAAAGCAUUGCUUAAAUGCUAAAUAGUGCUUUUUUUCCUGGCUGUUGGUAGCUUCUGACUGGCCGCUGGAUUGCAGCCAAUCUUUCAACCUGUUAGUUCAGAGAGCUUCCUUGGGUCGAACGGUUGGACCACAUCUCACUGUGAUCUACGAGGGUCCCCUCCAUCUUUGUCGCCUCUCUGGGGUGACUUUAGGUCCCAGCAGGAUACAAUUUGUAGCCGACUCCACAAUAUUUAUAGUCAAUGGCUGAAGAUACAAAUGCACACUUAAACCAAAUGUUGGACCUGGUUGUUAUGGAGCAGCUGCUGGCCCUUCUGCCCCCACAGAUGGAAAACUGGUUGCGGGAGUGUGAAGCAGAGACCAGCUCCCAGGCGGUGGCCCUGACGGAAGGUUUUCUCAUGAGUCAAGCAGAGGAGCAGAAGGAGCAAGUCAAGUUGCAGACUAGAGAUCCUAUGAGAAUCAGGAAUCCAUCAAAUCUCCCUCUGGAGCUGCUUUUCAGGAGGAUCUCUCAGGAUGCCACAAGUCAGGACAUCUCAGAUGGGAAGAAUAGAACGAAUUUGACUCCUAUCUAUGGUGGUGCUGAAAGAGUGGUUGAAACUCAAACUCAAAAUGGCCUUGUGUCCUUUAAGGAGGUGGCUGUGUAUUUCUCCAAAGAGGAGUGGUCUCAGCUGGAUGCCGACCAAAAAGCGCUGCAUUGGGAAGUCAUGCUGGAAAAUCAUAGGAACGUGGCAUCUUUGGGUAAUGGGGAAGAAUAUGAAGAUUCCUGGGAACUACUCCAAAUGAUCACUCAUGGGUAUAAUAUGAAGAAUGCCACAGAUCUAAUGGAAGAAGAAAGCCAUGAGAGAAACCAGUCAAAUAACUGCAAUUGGGAAAAUUCAUUUUCUAUUCACGCACCAACUAAAGCCUCUGUGGUCCAACAAAGGAAAAUAAAAAAGAAAUAUAUUGGAAAAGAUAUAAACGUACUCAUAAAUAAAUUAAAUGUAAAUAAAUACUAUCAAACUCAAAUCAAAGGAGAAGAUUAUAUAUGUAGAGACAGUGGAAAAAGUUACAAAUGGACCUUGUCUCUUUCUCACAAAAAGGGGUCCCGUACAUCUCAAAAAAGGACCCGCGCAGGCGAGAAACCCUAUAAAUGCAUGGAGUGUGGAAAGAGCUUUAUUUUUAGACGUUAUCUAAAGUCACAUAGAAGGAUCCAUACAGGAGAGAAGUCCUAUGAAUGCAUGGAGUGUGGGAAGAGCUUUACUCAGAACAGUAGUCUUAAUUCCCAUAAAAGGAUCCACACAGGUGAGAAGCCCUAUAAAUGCAUGGAAUGUGGGAAGAGCUUUACUCAGAACAGUGGUCUUAGUUCCCAUAAAAGGAUCCACACAGGUGAGAAGCCCUAUAAAUGCAUGGAGUGUGGAAAGAGCUUCACUUUUAGUCAUUCUCUUACUUUGCAUUACCGGAUCCAUACAGGGGAAAAGCCAUAUAAAUGCACUGAGUGUGGAAAGAGCUUCGCUUGUAGUCAUUAUCUUACUUCACAUUACCGGAUCCAUACAGGGCAGAAGCCAUAUAAAUGUAUGGAGUGUGGAAAGAACUUUACUCACAUAAAGACUCUUGCUUCCCAUAAAAGGAUCCACACAGGGGAGAAGCCCUAUAAAUGCAUGGAGUGUGGAAAGAACUUUACUCACUUCAAAAGUCUUACUUGCCAUAAAAGAAUCCACAUAAAGGAGAAGCUCUAUAAAUGCAAGGAGUGUGGAAAGAGCUUCACUUGUAGUAAUUCUCUUACUUUGCAUUACCGGAGCCAUACAGCAGGGAAGUCAUAUAAAUGCAUGGAAUGUGGAAAGACGUUCACUCAGAGCCACAGUCUUGCUUUCCAUAAAAUUAUCCACACAGGGGAGAAGCCCUACAAAUGUACGGAGUGUGGAAAGAGCUUCACUCUCAGUACUUCUCUUAUUUCACAUUACUGGCUUCAUACAGCGGAGAAGCCCUAUAAAUGCAUGGAGUGUGGAAAGAGCUUCGCUCACAGUAAGUCUCUUACUUCCCAUUACUGGAUCCAUACAGGGGAGAAGCCCUAUAAGUGCACAGAGUGUGAAAAGAGCUUCUGUUACAAUUCUUCUCUUACUGUUCAUAAACGAAUCCACACAGGAGAGAAGCCCUAUAAAUGCAUGGAGUGUGGAAAGAGCUUCGUUCACAAUAAUUCUCUUACUUCCCAUUACUGGAUGCAUACAGGAGAGAAGCCCUAUAAGUGCACAGAGUGUGGAAAGAGCUUCUAUCACAAUUCUUCUCUUAUUGUUCAUAAAAGGAUCCACACAGGAGAGAAGCCCUAUAAAUGCAUUGAUUGUGGAAAGAGCUUCCCUAAGAGCGGUGACCUUAUUUUCCAUAGAAAUAUCCACAUAGGGGAGAAACCAUAUAAAUGCAUGGAGUGCGGAAAGAGCUUCAUUAAGAACUGCCUACUUAUUUACCAUAACAGGAUGCAUACCGGGGAGAAGCCUUUUAAAUGCCUGGAGUGUGAUGCAGAAACUAGAAUCAUCUCAACAAUCUUCUAAUAACAAAAAGUUAACCCUUGGAUGAAGAGGCCUGAAUAGCCUUUGGUCAGUUCUGCAGUUACCCGAAUAGUCCUAUGAAUUGAAAGGUGUUUGGAGAUGCACAAGAUUCCUCCGACCUAUCUGGAAUUUCUUUGCAGGACAGACAAAGAAUGCAGAAACAACCCUUAGCAAGUGAGGGAACUGGAAAAGACCCCUCUGCUGUUGAGCCUGGCAGCUGUGGGAAGAUCUGGGCAAGAACUGAAGAUGCUGGAGAAGAAAACCAUCAUCCGUUCAGAAAUUCAGCCUGGAACUUCAGAAACAUCCAAUACCAGAAGACUGAAGGUCCCCGAGGACUUUGCAGCCGACUCCACAACUUUUAUAGGCAGUGGCUGAGCUUAGAAAAGCACACUAAAACCCAAAUGUUGGACCUGGUUGUUCUGCAGCAGCUGCUGGCCCUUCUGCCCCCCCAGAUGGCAAACUGGUUGCAGGAGUGUGGAGCAGAGACCAGCUCUCAAGUGGUGGCCCUGGCGGAAGGCUUCCUCCUGAGUCAGGCAGAGGAGCAGAAGGAGCAAGUCGAAUUGCAGGUGAAAGACCUUCAUGUUUGAAGUCCAGAAGAAUGUGUUUGAAUUUUUCACCCCUCGCUUCCCUACUUCUCUGAUCUUCAUAAUAUGUGGAUAUGUUUUACUAGUUCUUGCAGGACAUUGUUCCAUUAUCCAUGCUAGAACAUAGACUGGAGAUAGCUGUUUCUUCCUUACAUUCUAGGCUCAUUGAUUGAUAUUGGGACAUUGUUGUUGUUUUUAGAGAACAAGAAUCCACUUCAUGUUGUGUAAUGUCUUAUUCAAGUCUUUCCCUCUGCAGAGCAGAGAUCCUAUGAGACUCAUGAAUCCAUCAAACCCCCUCAGGAACUGUUUUUCAGGAGGAUCUAUCAGGAAUCUGCAAGUCAGGACAUCUCAGAUGGGAAGAAUAGAACGAAUUUGACUGCUUUUAAUGGUGGUGCUGAAAGAGUGGUUAAAACUCCAAGUCAAGUAAGAAAGGAGGGUCUUGUGUCCUUUAAGGAGGUGACUGUGUAUUUCUCUGAAGAGGAGUGGUCUCAGCUAAAUGCUGACCAAAAAGCACUGCAUUGGGAAGUCAUGCUAGAAAAUCAUAGGAACAUGGCCUCUUUGGGUAAUAAUGGGGAGGAAAAUGAAGAUUCCAAGGAACUAUUCCAAGUGAUCACUCGUGGAUACAAUAUGAAGAACCCUAUAAUUGUAGCUGAAAUAGAAAGCCAUGAGAGAAACCAGUCAAAUAAUUGCAAUCAGGAAAGUUCAUCUUCUGUUCAUUUCCCGACUGAAGUUUCUGUGGCCCAACAAGGAAUAAUAAAAAACAAAUAUAUUGGAAAACAGAUAAAGGUAUUAAUAAACAAAUUAGAUGUAAAUAAAUAGUAUCAAUCCCAAACCAAAGGAGAUUAUAUAUGUAGAGAGAAUGUACAAAAUUACAAAUGGACCUUGUCUGUUCCUCAUAAAAAUGGAUCCUUUUAAACCAUUCUUCCUCUAUAGCAGAAAUGAGAAUGGGAACUUCCUCUGAAGUGUGUGAUUAAA